RNAcentral lists this transfer RNA (74 nucleotides) under Candidatus Parcubacteria bacterium. Its description in RNAcentral is "tRNA-Pro". It matches the Rfam family "tRNA". From Rfam's summary of the family: Transfer RNA (tRNA) molecules are approximately 80 nucleotides in length. The record is from RNAcentral. Lineage: Bacteria; Candidatus Parcubacteria.
CGGGAUGUAGUAUAGCGGUAGUAUUCACGAUUCGGGUUCGUGAGACGGGAGUUCGAAUCUCCCCAUCCCGACCA